Molecule: ribosomal RNA, 259 nt
Filed under: Salmonella enterica subsp. enterica serovar Typhi
Lineage: Bacteria; Pseudomonadati; Pseudomonadota; Gammaproteobacteria; Enterobacterales; Enterobacteriaceae
Description: partial 16S ribosomal RNA
Rfam family: Bacterial small subunit ribosomal RNA
Source: RNAcentral
AGUCGAACGGUAACAGGAAGCAGCUUGCUGCUUUGCUGACGAGUGGCGGACGGGUGAGUAAUGUCUGGGAAACUGCCUGAUGGAGGGGGAUAACUACUGGAAACGGUGGCUAAUACAGCAUAACGUCGCAAGACCAAAGAGGGGGACCUUCGGGCCUCUUGCCAUCAGAUGUGCCCAGAUGGGAUUAGCUUGUUGGUGAGGUAACGGCUCACCAAGGCGACGAUCCCUAGCUGGUCUGAGAGGAUGACCAGCCCCACUG